ACCUUCAGGUUCCCUUUCCCAUCUGAUCUGAACCCUGGUCUCGGCAGUCGUAAGAGGAGGGACGGUCGAGCUGGAGCUGCCCUCACAGUGCGUGUAGUCUGCUAGACAGCAUGCAGGUUAGUUUCACACGAGG
This is a small nucleolar RNA of Camelus dromedarius (Arabian camel), 133 nucleotides long. The record is from Ensembl. NCBI's taxonomy places the organism in Eukaryota, Metazoa, Chordata, Mammalia, Artiodactyla, Camelidae.